UACGGAGGGCGCAAGCGUUGUUCGGAAUCACUGGGCGUAAAGCGCGUGUAGGCGGUUCAGCAAGUCGGCUGUGAAAGCCCGGGGCUCAACCUCGGAACUGCAGCCGAAACUGCCGGGCUCGAGCCCCGGAGAGGGUGGCGGAAUUUCCGGUGUAGAGGUGAAAUUCGUAGAUAUCGGAAGGAACACCAGAGGCGAAGGCGGCCACCUGGACGGUGACUGACGCUGAGACGCGAAAGCGUGGGGAGCAAACAGG
This 253-nucleotide ribosomal RNA is filed under the name uncultured bacterium. RNAcentral's name for it is "partial 16S ribosomal RNA". It matches the Rfam family "Bacterial small subunit ribosomal RNA", at positions 524 to 776 of the family's 1533-position model. The record is from RNAcentral.